AACGAACGCUGGCGGCAGGCCUAACACAUGCAAGUCGAGCGAGGACUUCGGUUCUAGCGGCGGACGGGUGGGUAACGCGUGGGAAUGUGCCCUUCUCUACGGAAUAUCCCUGGGAAACUGGGAGUAAUACCGUAUACGCCCUAUUGUGGAAAGAUUUAUCGGAGAAGGAUCAGCCCGCGUUGGAUUAGGUAGUUGGUGGGGUAAUGGCCUAUCAAGAGGACGAUGCAUAGCUGGUUUGAGAGGAUGAUAAGCCACACUGGGACUGAGACACGGCCCAGACUCCUACGGAAUGCAGCAGUGCCUAAUCUUAGACAACGGGGUCAACCCUGAUCGAGCCAUGCCUCGUGAGUAAUGAAGGCCUUAGGGUUGUAAAGCUCUUUAAGCUGUGAAUAUAAUGACGGUACCAGCAGAAGAAGCCCCGGCUAACUCCGUG
RNAcentral lists this ribosomal RNA (433 nucleotides) under uncultured bacterium. Its description in RNAcentral is "partial 16S ribosomal RNA". It matches the Rfam family "Bacterial small subunit ribosomal RNA", at positions 29 to 507 of the family's 1533-position model. The record is from RNAcentral.